Molecule: ribosomal RNA, 468 nt
Filed under: uncultured bacterium
Lineage: Bacteria
Description: partial 16S ribosomal RNA
Rfam family: Bacterial small subunit ribosomal RNA
Source: RNAcentral
UCCUCCCUCUUUCUUCGUGCUUAAUACAUGCAAGUCGAACGGAAAGGCCCUGCUUUUGUGGGGCGCUCGAGUGGCGCACGGGUGAGUAACACGUGAGUAACAUGCCCUUGUAUUUGGGAUAAAUUCAGGAAACAGGGGCUCAUACCGGAUAUGAUCUCUUGAUGCACGGUGGGGGAUGGAAAGAUUCGGCGGUUGGGGAUGGUCUCGCAGCUUAUCAGCUUGUUGGUGAGGUAGUGGCUUACAAAGGUUGUGAAGGGUAGGCGGCCUGGGAGGGUGACCGGCCACAUUGGUACUGCGGUACGGCCCAGACUCCUACGGGCGGCAGCAGUGGGGAGUAUUGCGCAAUGGCCGGAAGCCUGAUGCGACAACGCCGCGUGCGGGAUGACGUCCUUCGGGUUGUAAACCGCUUUCGCCUUUGACGAAGCGGGAGUGACGGUAAUUAGUAAAGAAGCACCGGCUAACUACGUG